CUGCUGUCUUCACAGGUCCAUCCUGAGCAGCUGCUCCUCCAGUCUUCAAUGACUUCAGCUGGUGCGAUCAAUCCUGCAGUUUCGGUUCACAUGGAUACGGUUCAGCGUGUUGGUCCGGGCAUAGCUUCUCUGCUGCUCACUACUCCUGCAACUGUCCGUGGGUAUUCCGCUGCGUAGGGCAAGGUGGAGGAGGGUAGCAGGGGAGCGGGUGCAGGUGAGUUACUGGAGUGGGGUAACUUAGUUAGGAGCAUGAGGGGGUUCUAGGACGCUUGGGAGCGUAACACUUAAGCGACGUGGCCGCUGCCCACUUCUGUGGAUAGCCAGGGGUGAGAGGUACCCCUGGGGUCAUUGUAUCUUCUCCCUCAAACGGGGGGGUGUCUGUUUCAGGCCUGGCUCCUGCGUUACAGGUCGUUCCACCUGUGCUUCUGGUGGUGGUCACCGACUAGCCUGUGGUUGCUGUGUUGGCCUCCAGCGGUGAGGUUGCUCAGGCCGCCCAUGGGACGGUGGACAUGUGUUGGUUUGGCCCACUGGGCCUGCAUUUGAAGCCGAAGGUAAGGGAAAGAAUUUGGAAGGGGGAGUUUGUGGAAUUUUUUUCCCCCUUCUCCCCUUGGAGGACCUACCUCCGGCAGAGAAGGAUGCUAAGAAAUCGGAAAAAGGGGUAGGACCAGAUGGACAUUAGGCUCUGGCUGGCGAUAAUGACUCGCCCAGCUUCCCACCAAGGGGGCCUCUCGCCUUUUCUCGGAGGAGCCGGCGUAGGGGCAUCACACUCCGCGUCAGUUGGUCAGCGCAGGAUGGGAUGUUGCUGGCAAUACAAUGAUAACCAGUGCAAGUAUGGCGCGUGUUGUAGAUUGAAGCAUGGAUCAGGAUGCGGGGGAUCCCAUCCCACUUCUUCAAGCGGGGAAAGUCUGAGGAGAAGGGAGAGGCCUUGGGCUCUAAGGGCGAGGACGCCAGUGGACGUAGGCGCGAUGCGCCCUUGGCUAAACCUUUAUAGAAAUAAGAAGGGCGGCAAAGUUGCUGCUGGAAGGUUUUAGUGAGGGGUUCUGGAUCCCUCAUCGAGACAGGGUAGCGCCUUGUUCUUGUCGGAACCUUUGAUCGGUGGGGGAUCACCUUACGGUGAUGCGGGACAAAUUGGCUAAAGAAGUGGCACUAGGACACAUGGUGUGUCCCUUUCGGUUGCCUCCUCUUCCACAUCUCAGGAUCUCAACCCUGGGUGUGGUUCCAAAAAAGGAACCAGAAAAACUUAGACUGAUUCAUCAUUUAUCGUAUCCUCAUGGGGGUUCAGUAAAUGAUGAUAUUGCAGCGGAGCUGUGUACGGUGUCCUAUGCUUCGUUUGAUGCUGCGGUGCACAUGGUGCGGGAGGCAGGUCCGCGGGCAUUGAUGGAAAAAACUGACAUGGAGUUGGCGUUUUGUCUCCUUCCUGUUCACCCGGAGUGUCAUCACCUCUUGGGUUGUAAUUUUGAGGGGCAACUAUGUGGACCUGUGACUCCUGGUGGAGUGCGCACUUUCGUACUUCUACUUUGAGUGCUUUAGCUCAUUUAUGGAGUGGGUGGUGAGGGAGGAGUACGGUUGCGAUUCCAUCAUUCAUUACCUUGACGAUUUUCUGUGCGUCGGUCCUGCCCAUUCUCCAAUGUGUGCGCAGCUCUUUCAGAUGGUAGCUGAUGUGGCAUGUUCGUUUGGGGUCCCGCUGGCUCCGGACAAGACUGAUCGAGAGAGAUUCAAUUGUGGGGGAGUGCCGCUUACCUGCGGAGAAGGUGAGAGAUCUAUGUGUGGCGGUUGAGGCUGCAUGGGGCCUCUGAAAAAUGUAGUUGUGGCAAGUCACUUCUGGGUAAAUUGAACUUUGCGUGUCGGAUCAUGGGCAGGGUCUUAAACAGGCGUUUGGUGGCGGCAAUGUCUUGGGUCGUGAGGCCGCACCACUUUGUGAGCCUUACCCGAGCACUGCGAGAGGAUUUGGCGGUGUGGAGUGUUUUCCUCAACGGGUAUAAUGGCAGGUCCUACUGGCAUUCCGACCUCCAUCUGUUCACUGAUGCGGCGGGGUCAGUGGGGUUUGGGGCCAUCCUGGGUAACACAGUGGUGUGCGGAGUCGUGGCCGGAGUCCUGGCAUUUGGCGUGUUUGACUAGGAACCUGGCAUUCCUAGAGCUGUUCCAAUUAUGGUGGCAGUUCAUCUAUGGGGUUCCUCUCUACGGGAUUGAGGGUUGUGUCCCACUGUGAUAACCUGGGGGUGGUCUUUGCCCUUUACAACUUGACAGCUUCCUCCCCUCCAGUGGUGUGACUUUUGAGGCAUUUGGGUUUGCGCUGCUUGUCUUUGAAUGUUACGUGUAGAGCUGUGCACAUCUCGGGUUUUAAGAACAUAACAGCGGAUAAUCUUUCUCGUUCACAGUGGCAGGCGUUUUGGGCAGCCGCACCGGACACGGAGGGUUCUUCCUGCCCGGCAGAACUGUGGUACCUUGGCCUGAACAAGUGAGGGCUUGGAUCUGGUCAUCAGUGUCAGCUGCCACUUGGGCUUGGUAUGCUAAGGCAUGGGGUGAGUGGGUGGCCUUUGGAACGGGAAAGUGGUGGUUUUGGCUCAGUCCCCCUGAGCAGGCUAUCCUGAGGAAUGGUAGAUGGGAGUCUAGGAGGUCUUAUGUGCGCCUGACCGGGCUGAUUGCGUUUUUCCCUGUUCUUUCUCCACUGAGUCCAGCAGACGGGUCUGGUUUAUUCGGGCAUUCCUAUGUCUAUUGGGUCCAUCUCUGUGCGGGGGUUUCGACCUGGUGGGACUCGUCUCGGCCUGUCUACAGAGUUGGCGGACGUCACAUGGUUUGGGACUCGGGGCAUGAAAUGGGGAAAGCUGCUUCCGGGAGUAGUUCAGCUUGCGAGUCUGUUGGGUGUCCCGGACGUUUUGGUGAUACACUUUGGGGGUAACGAUUUGGGUGCAAUGUCAGUAUGGGGCCUGGGGCAUAUAAUCAAGUGAGACUUGGUGCGCUUAAUGGUUACAGGACGUUUAAGAGCAGGAUGUGGCGUGGUUGGGGAGUCGCGUCUGCUUAUUUAGGGGUAAAGCAACGGGGCUAGUGGCAGGUAAGGUCCUUGCCAAUCCGGGUUGGAGCAAGAGUACAGAUGGAAAGAAGGAAGGUUGGGGCUGAUCCCUCCCCUAACCUCUGGUAAAUGGUUGGACAAACGGACGUGCCCACUGAGCCAAAGGUGGGCUAGAGGUUGGCAUGAUGGGAAGGUGAGGCCAAAUGGUAGUUAGGACGAGGAGGGAGGGCAGGCACCGAGGAGUCUGUGGUUAAAUUGUAUAUCAUGUUGAUAUUGUUAGUAA
Molecule: long non-coding RNA, 3293 nt
Filed under: Pelobates cultripes (western spadefoot toad)
Lineage: Eukaryota; Metazoa; Chordata; Amphibia; Anura; Pelobatidae
Source: RNAcentral